CCUACGGGAGGCAGCAGUGAGGAAUAUUGGUCAAUGGACGAGAGUCUGAACCAGCCAAGUAGCGUGAAGGAUGACUGCACUAUGGGUUGUAAACUUCUUUUAUAUGGGAAUAAAACAUGGUAUGCAUACCCUCUUGUGUGUACCAGAUGAAUAAGGAUCGGCUAACUCCGUGCCAGCAGCCGCGGUAAUACGGAGGAUCCGAGCGUUAUCCGGAUUUAUUGGGUUUAAAGGGAGCGUAGGUGGAUUGUUAAGUCAGUUGUGAAAGUUUGCGGCUCAACCGCAAAAUUGCAGUUGAAACUGGCAGUCUUGAGUAGAGUAGAGGUAUGCGGAAUUCGUGGUGUAGCGGUGAAAUGCAUAGAUAUCGCGAAGAACUCCGAUUGCGAAGGCAGCACACUGGA
Molecule: ribosomal RNA, 398 nt
Filed under: uncultured bacterium
Lineage: Bacteria
Description: partial 16S ribosomal RNA
Rfam family: Bacterial small subunit ribosomal RNA
Source: RNAcentral